Molecule: ribosomal RNA, 254 nt
Filed under: uncultured bacterium
Lineage: Bacteria
Description: partial 16S ribosomal RNA
Rfam family: Bacterial small subunit ribosomal RNA
Source: RNAcentral
UACAGGGGGGGCAAGCGUUGUUCGGAAUUACUGGGCGUAAAGGGCUCGUAGGCGGCCAACUAAGUCGGACGUGAAAUCCCUCGGCUCAACCGGGGAACUGCGUCCGAUACUGGAUGGCUUGAGUUCGGGAGAGGGAUGCGGAAUUCCAGGUGUAGCGGUGAAAUGCGUAGAUAUCUGGAGGAACACCGGUGGCGAAGGCGGCAUCCUGGACCGACACUGACGCUGAGUGAGCGAAAGCCAGGGGAGCAAACGGG